This 224-nucleotide unclassified non-coding RNA is filed under the name uncultured Alphaproteobacteria bacterium. RNAcentral's name for it is "contains 16S-23S intergenic spacer region". It matches the Rfam family "Bacterial small subunit ribosomal RNA", at positions 980 to 1194 of the family's 1533-position model. The record is from RNAcentral. Lineage: Bacteria; Pseudomonadati; Pseudomonadota; Alphaproteobacteria.
UACCCUUGACAUGUCCAGUAUGGGUUUCAGAGAUGAGAUCCUUCAGUUCGGCUGGCUGGAACACAGGUGCUGCAUGGCUGUCGUCAGCUCGUGUCGUGAGAUGUUGGGUUAAGUCCCGCAACGAGCGCAACCCUCGCCUUUAGUUGCCAUCAUUUAGUUGGGCACUCUAGAGGGACUGCCGGUGAUAAGCCGGAGGAAGGUGGGGAUGACGUUUCCAGGUUAGG